CAUCGGAAAAGGAGUAACAGACAACACAAGAAGAAGAAUCAUAAUGAGUCAAGUAGGGGAAAGCAUUCUGAGUCAAGUUCAGAGGACGAUAAUAAUAACAGGCAUCGGAAAAGGAAUAACAGACACAGACAUUCACGGUCAAGUUCACCUGUGCCUGAAGAUAAGGAACACAGGAAGAAACAGUAUUCUGAGUCAAGUAGGGGAAAGCAUUCUGAGUCAAGUUCAGAGGACGAUGAUAAUGACCGGCAUCGGAAAAGGAGUAACAGACACAGACGUUCACGGUCAAGUUCACCCGAGCCUGAAGAUAAGGAACGCAGGAAGAAGAAUCGUCACUACCGUCAUCAUCACAGUCGGCACAAUCAUUCUGAUUAUUCAUGACAAUGAAGUUAUAUCAUCUAGCUGUUGCCUCCUAUAGAAGAGCUCCAAAACCCACUAGUGAUGCAAAAGCAGUAAAAGGAAAAAUGGUGAGCCACGUUAAACCUACAGUGUUUGUAUGAUUGUGAGUAGUAGACUGAAUUUCUGGUUGAAAAUAUCAUACUGUUGUUUUCUUUAAAGCUUUCUGCCUUUGCUAGUUUCCUGCAGGUUCUUGGAGACCAAUACUUGGAUUAAAUUGAUUCUAGUUUAGAUAGCUGGCCUCCGUUAGAAUUCUCACGCUGUUUAGUUAAAAAUAUGGAUUAUUAUGUAAUAGGAUUAUUUUAAAGAUACCGGAUUGUUUUGGGUCUUUUCUCCAAAUUUAUGAUAGUCUCUCAACACUUGGGUGAUCUUUGUAAA
Molecule: long non-coding RNA, 771 nt
Filed under: Nicotiana tabacum (common tobacco)
Lineage: Eukaryota; Viridiplantae; Streptophyta; Magnoliopsida; Solanales; Solanaceae
Description: long non-coding RNA (NTAB_LNC004837)
Source: RNAcentral